GACGAACCGUCCGAACGUUAUUCGGAAUCACUGGGCUUAAAGCGCGUGUAGGCGGCGCGGCACGUCGGACGUUGAAAUCCCCCGGCUUAACCGGGGAAGUGGCGCCGAUACGGCCGUGCUGGAGGGGGGUAAGGGGGCCUGGAACUUCCGGUGGAGCGGUGAAAUGCGUUGAGAUCGGAAGGAACGCCCGUGGCGAAAGCGAGGCCCUGGACCCUUACUGACGCUGAGACGCGAAAGCCAGGGGAGCGAACGGG
Molecule: ribosomal RNA, 254 nt
Filed under: uncultured bacterium
Lineage: Bacteria
Description: partial 16S ribosomal RNA
Rfam family: Bacterial small subunit ribosomal RNA
Source: RNAcentral